Molecule: long non-coding RNA, 5041 nt
Organism: Equus caballus (horse)
Lineage: Eukaryota; Metazoa; Chordata; Mammalia; Perissodactyla; Equidae
Source: Ensembl
CUGGGCAGAGGGCAAGGGAUUUACUGGCUGUGUGAAAGUUACCACAGACACUGGGGAGGUGGGCAGCGCUGGUCUGAGGAAACAUCUAGCAGGGGACUCCUGGGGGCCAUCUUCUGUGAUGCAACAAUUAAGUAAAGGCCAGUGUAUGACAUUAGGAGCACAAGACUGGGGAGUUUCAGAAGGUGCUGGAAGAGGGUAAGGAAAAGGAGAGAGAGAAAGAAAAUUCAAUGCACCAGGGGAACUGACCAUCAGCUGGAAAUUCUCAGCCUGAGAGUUUGUAGCCCCCUGGAGCUGGGAAGGGCAGCUAUCAGCAACUCUCUUGACAAUGAGGAAACCGAGACCCAGAGGCCACAAAGCCUCGACUGAGGAUACACCCUGAAGCUCCCAGGACUUCUAAUAAUGAUAGCAUUGAUUAAUAAUGAUUAAUAAUGAUUAGCAUUGAAUGCUAAUGAUGCUUUUCCAUGGGUUAUCUCAUUUCACCAUUUAAUCCUCACAACCUGAUGGAAGUUAUUAUAUAUUUUAUAUAUAUGUAUAUAUAUAUGUAAUAUCAUAUGGCAUGCCCAUGAGGAACGUUAAGUGAAGGGCAGUUGUUCUGGACCUCAGAGGAUUAAGCCCAGGCUGUUUGACGCUACAGCCCUGUCCUUCAACACCUUCAUAUCCUCACUGUACCCUCCUGUGUCAGAGAGACCCCACUGGGGAACAGAGAGUUAGAAGGACAGAGACAGAGACGAAGGAAAAACAGCUGUCUUGGAGACACUGUGGUCCCCAUUAUCUCCCCCAAAGAGAGAAAACAAAGGGCGUGCCGGGGGAGGGAGUGGGUGAACGAGCCUGUGUGUGACGUGGGGACUGGAGGAUGAUUCUGAAUAAAGGUCAGGCCUUUCCAGAGCGAGAACGCGGGCUGAAGGGUAGCGGUUUCUCUCAACUACAGAGGCACAGGCUGAGGGGGCCACCGAGGCGAGCGGUAAAUUUGGCUGGGCGUGUGGGCCUGUACAAUAAUCUCAGGCCUGCAGGUCACUCCAGGAUACCAGGGCAAGCUUUGUACCAGAAAAACCAACUCCUGAUUGCCUGCCAGUCGGGACAGUGGGAGGAGGAAACAGAGGAGCGACAGCACACCCGGGACGCCCCCAACCUUCCUCCUUGUCCUGCUGGGUUAAUAACAAGCACGGUAACCAACACGUACGGAGCACUUACACGUGUGCUCAGAGCUUUACAUGCACCGCACGAGCUCAAUGGGGCAUCGAGAACAGUCCUUGAGCACGGUGACCAAACCAGCCCAUUUUACAAAGGAGGAACCCGAGGGUGAGGAACUGACCUCGGAUCAUUGUUCUGUUGAAUAGUGAGCUGGGAUCUGAAUCCAGGCAGCCUGAUUCCAGGAGCUGCCCCCAAAGCUCUAGGGAAGCAGCUGGGCAUGUGGCAAUGGAAGCCAAGGUCUCAGAGCCCGGGAUUGUGUGGAAUCAGUUCUCAAAUCCACCACUUCUAGCCGGAGCUGAGCGACUUGGCUUAACUAUGCUCAGUGUCUGUCGCCUCACGGGUAAAAUGCAGAUCCCUGGGUCCCAGGGUGGUAAUGAGGAUGGGGGAUAUAAGCAAGCGGCUGCCAGUAGUUCCUCCAUUACUGGUGUUGGGUCUCGUGGGGCCCACAGCCUCUGCCACCUCCCAGGGUAUAGCAUGGGUCCUCCCUGAUCCUCAGGCUUCUCCUCAGCUCCCACAAAGAGUCGCCCACCCUCAUGGGCUGCACGCUGUUUGGUGAACUCCCAACUAGUGUUCCCAAACCUAAUAAGUGACCCCAAAGGCCACCGAAGAACCACAUUCUCUGAUCACGCAGCCCCAGGCCUUCCUCCCAGCUCAUCAAAGACAGUCUAACCUUUCGCCUCCCACCCCCACCUCCCACUGCUAGCUCAUUAUACUCCCUCCACCCAGGAACAAGGGCAAUUAAAAAGGUGGAAAAUUUAAGUGGGUCAAUAUGACUAUUUUCUAGAAGUUUAGGCAUACAAUUUGGUGAGAAAAGAAACAGAAACCAUGAGCUCACCAAAGGUGGGCAAAGACCGUCUUCUAUGGAGUUGCCAAAACCUAUUUGAAAGAAAAACCUCCCACUGGGGCCUCCUGUAACCAAUUCCAUAAAUACAAAUUUACCAACCUCAGGAAAGACUUUUUUCCUUGUCUGCACAGUAUCUCUUCUCUACUCCGUGAACCUCCAGGGUCCCCUCUCCCAGGGCAACAUCCCUUGCCCUUCACGAAAUAAUUACAUCAAGCUUUCUAAUAGGUUGACAGAUAGCACCAUGUCAUCUCUACCUUUCAGCUUCCCUGCGGAAAUCCUCCUGUUUGAUCUGCAGAUCUGUGUAACGGAGGAGGAGAGAGGGAGGAAAAAAGCGAGAGCGGCUCUAUUCUGAUAUAUACGUACUUUUCCAGGCAUGCCCCCUGCCCUGUUGGGCAUAAUUGCCUGUUUAAUUACCUGUAUUCCCGGUGGCCUGAAAAUUCUGGGAGGACAGGGGCAAUGUUGAUCCUUACAUCCCCACACAUAGAACAGCUACCAGGAAGAGCAAGUCUCUGAUAAAUGUUUGCUGAAGGCCUGAGGAGAAGAGAGAGAGCAGCUGGGGAGAGAGAGUCUUACGUACAUACACCCCUCCUCAUCUCCAAGGGCCAGCUUCUCUCCGUCGAGCAAAUCCCUGGACAUUUUCUCUUGGCCUCAGAGGUCUUUUUAGAGUUCUUGGCCUUUCUUCUUAUGGGGGCCACAUGGAGGACAAGUUGGCAUAGAGUCUGCCACCUGGGGUUGGGGGGCUGGCCGUGCCUCUUCACCCACAUGGAUGUCUCCCACUUGCCCUCCCCUGGGGGCGCCGCAGAGUGAAGAUUGUUCUGUACCAGGCGGAGUCCUGGGUCUUUCACAACCAAUGUCUAUGGAACACGCCACCCCAAACCUGUAGAGGACACAUUCUUUUCAAGUUCACAUGCAUCGUUCCCCAAGACAGGCCAUAUGUUGAACCACGAGAUCACUCUCAAUACAUUUCAAAGGAGCGAAAUCACACAGAACAUGUUCUCUGAGGACGAUGGAAAUAAAUUAGAAGAGUAGAUACGUUCAAAAUCCCAAAUAUCUGAAGAAACUCUCUCAGUGCUUGACACAGUGUAGAUCCUCAACAAUUUCUGCCUCGACAUCCUUCUCUACCACAGUUACGAUCCCUCUGCUGCUGCUGAAAGUAAAGGCCGACCACCGGCCAAGGUUACGGCCACAGUCCCAGGCCUGGCACUUACUGCCCUGUCUGCACAGUGAGCUGGGACAAUGAGUCCACCUCGGAGCCCACCCUGAGUCCCUCAGCAUUCACCAGAUCCACACUGAGGCAGGAAGAUCUCCGCUAUGCUGCCAGAAUGGGGUCCCAGCCCACUCUCCACUCCAAGGAGCCCAGCCUUCUCGAGAUGUGGGGAGAGAGCUCAAUGGGGUGAUGGCUCUUGAUCUUUUUACUUAGAAUGUUCUCUGGCAGAUAAAAUCAAAUUCAUUUUGUUUAGGGAGUUUAGCCGAAACCCCUUGAGGAACAAAUGAAGGCAGCACACAGAAAUGCCUCCUUUCCUCUGCCUGCCAUUUUAGAGGGUCCCCAAGAGGCCAGGAAUACAGUCAACCAGAGAGAAACCCAACCAGCCAAGUCAUACGAGGGAGACGGAGACUGCCAUUGUCACAACCUUUGGACUAAAGAAUGAAGUGGAAACUGAAUUUCACUGAAGGCUGUGCUUGAGCUUUUCAAGGCCAAUAGUCUGAUCCAUGUGUUUGGUUCACAAUAUAAAUGGACAAUUGUGGUGCUGAUAAGUCACCACCCGGAAGAGCCCAAGGGUGGAAGUACCUGUUAUUGGCACAUGCUGUGUGUAAACCUUCUACUGAGACUAAGCUGGUUGCAGCAUCAUUUUCCUUCAAAUCAGGGUAAAGAUCUCCUAGAUAAGAAUGAGUUGGAAAUUAAGACCCAAAUUAAAGCACAUCUAAAGAGGUUGGUACGUGACAAAACCUCCUCAGAAUGCAGUCCAUGGAAGGUUUCCGCCGGGAUCCUGUCAAGAGAGGCGAGUUUUAAAAGGUCUAUGAAUCCUCUAGCUAGGGGAGAAAAGACAAGAGGCAGCAAAGACAGACAGCUAACAAGAAUAGCAUCACCUCCACCUCCACCACCAUUUCUUGGGAGGAGACAUCAUGGAAGCCACUGUUUUCAGUACUUCGGUAAGUUAUAAACUCAUUUGGAUAACGCACCGCAAGUCGUGAAGCUACAGGUCACCAGGGCGUGUACAUGCAACCAAAGCGAUUCCCAGCUGAAGUUCUGAAAUCUCUGGUUCAGUCAAAACGCAGUAGAGGCACCCUAGCGGCCCGAGCACACAAAGAUAAACGGGAAACAGAAAUUCAGAGACCAAAUUCAGAGAGUGGAGGUGAAGAAUCUACUUACGUUCUCACUCACCCACCUAGCAAGUCUUUCUUUUAUUAACUGCUUACGAGAGGCCAGGCGCUGGGGAUGCACAUAUGAAUAAAAUGAGACCUCUGACCUUUAAGAACUCCCAGUCUAGUCUCUUCAGAACCCUCUAUUUCCACACUGUGACACUUCUGCUAGUGGAAGGGCACGUUAACCGUCUAAGAGGCUGCAGCAACGGGCAUAACCUGGAAUUCUUUCAUCAACCCUGGUUGUGUGGCCACCUUAAGUCCCCCCAAUACAGUGCAGCUCCCUGAGAGCAGGAACCAUCCACACAAACCACAGGAUGAUAAUUCGCCCUCCCCCACCAUACUAGUUCACCUAAGCUGACUUUCGGGGUCAACGGAAUUUAUUUCUGACUCUACCUCCCACCCCCUCACAACCACAUCAAGUAUUUCAGAUCAAGUAUCUGUGAAUCAUAGGUCAAGCUGAUUCAUUUCUUAAAGUUUCCGGAUUAUGAAUGAAAAUGGUAUCGAUCACCUGGAUGAGGAUCAAAUACAGGGAGAGACAGCGCGACAGUCGAGACUGGCUCUGCAUUUACUUGCAACAAUGCCAACUAGAUUUCCAGCAUUUUAUUGAGACGAGGAGAGAGCUGCUGAAAAAUUAGCAGGGAG